This 424-nucleotide ribosomal RNA is filed under the name uncultured bacterium. RNAcentral describes it as "bacterial SSU rRNA". It matches the Rfam family "Bacterial small subunit ribosomal RNA", at positions 355 to 776 of the family's 1533-position model. The record is from RNAcentral.
UAAGGUAUAUUGGUCAAUGGGCGCAAGCCUGAACCAGCCAUGCCGCGUGCAGGAAGACGGCCCUAUGGGUUGUAAACUGCUUUUGUCAGGGAAUAAACCCCCGCUCGUGAGCGGGGCUGAAGGUACCUGAAGAAUAAGCAUCGGCUAACUCCGUGCCAGCAGCCGCGGUAAUACGGAGGAUGCAAGCGUUAUCCGGAUUCAUUGGGUUUAAAGGGUGCGCAGGCGGAUUGGUAAGUCAGGGGUGAAAUCCCACAGCUCAACUGUGGAACUGCCUUUGAUACUGUCAGUCUAGAGUAUAGUUGAAGUGGGCGGAAUGUGUCAUGUAGCGGUGAAAUGCUUAGAUAUGGCACAGAACACCGAUCGCGAAGGCAGCUCGCUAAGCUAUAACUGACGCUCAUGCACGAAAGCGUGGGGAUCAAACAGG